Molecule: unclassified non-coding RNA, 200 nt
Filed under: uncultured fungus
Lineage: Eukaryota; Fungi
Also listed under: 1 other name
Description: sequence contains ITS1, 5.8S rRNA gene
Source: RNAcentral
ACGUAUCUCUGGCGGGUGCCUCCGCGCCCUGCUCCGGUCCAAACGGGCCGUGCAGCGGGUGAGCCGGCCCUGUCCAACCUUCACAAACCCACUGUGCACAUUGACGGCAGAAGGGCCCUCUAGUGGGGCUUGGAAGCCGCUUCAACAAACUCGUAAACUAUUUGAAUGUCUAGCGGCCUCUGUGUCGCCUAAAUUUGAAA